AUACAUCCGUCGCCGGACGGAUAAAAGCGUCAAAAUCAUGCCGUAGGUCUUAGUGGUAUGAGUUUGGCGCUUAUUUUUUA
RNAcentral lists this non-coding RNA (80 nucleotides) under unclassified sequences. The record is from RNAcentral.